This 302-nucleotide ribosomal RNA is filed under the name uncultured bacterium. RNAcentral describes it as "partial 16S ribosomal RNA". It matches the Rfam family "Bacterial small subunit ribosomal RNA", at positions 508 to 808 of the family's 1533-position model. The record is from RNAcentral.
GCAGCAGCCACGGGAAUACGUAGGUGGCAAGCGUUGUCCGGAUUUAUUGGGCGUAAAGCGAGCGCAGGCGGUCAAUUAAGUCUGAUGUGAAAGCCCCCGGCUCAACCGGGGAGGGUCAUUGGAAACUGGUUGACUUGAGUGCAGAAGAGGAGAGUGGAAUUCCAUGUGUAGCGGUGAAAUGCGUAGAUAUAUGGAGGAACACCAGUGGCGAAGGCGGCUCUCUGGUCUGUAACUGACGCUGAGGCUCGAAAGCGUGGGGAGCAAACAGGAUUAGAUACCCCCGUAGUCCCUGUCUCUUAACA